RNAcentral lists this ribosomal RNA (253 nucleotides) under uncultured bacterium. RNAcentral describes it as "partial 16S ribosomal RNA". It matches the Rfam family "Bacterial small subunit ribosomal RNA", at positions 524 to 776 of the family's 1533-position model. The record is from RNAcentral.
UACGUAGGAGGCAAGCGUUGUCCGGAUUUACUGGGCGUAAAGAGCGUGUAGGCGGCCAAACAGGUCCGUUGUGAAAACUGGAGGCUCAACCUCCAGACGUCGACGGAAACCGUGUGGCUAGAGUCCGGAAGAGGAGAGUGGAAUUCCUGGUGUAGCGGUGAAAUGCGCAGAUAUCAGGAAGAACACCAAUGGCGAAGGCAGCUCUCUGGGACGGUACUGACGCUGAGACGCGAAAGCGUGGGGAGCGAACAGG